UACGUAGGGGGCAAGCGUUGUCCGGAUUUAUUGGGCGUAAAGAGCUCGUAGGUGGUUCGGUAAGUCGGAUGUGAAAUCUCCAGGCUCAACCUGGAGGGGUCAUUCGAUACUGCCGUGACUAGAGUUCGGUAGGGGAGUGUGGAAUUCCUGGUGGAGCGGUGAAAUGCGCAGAUAUCAGGAGGAACACCCGUAGCGAAGGCGGCACUCUGGGCCGAUACUGACACUGAGGCGCGAAAGCUAGGGGAGCAAACGGG
Molecule: ribosomal RNA, 254 nt
Filed under: uncultured bacterium
Lineage: Bacteria
Description: partial 16S ribosomal RNA
Rfam family: Bacterial small subunit ribosomal RNA
Source: RNAcentral